Long non-coding RNA from Arabidopsis thaliana (thale cress), 342 nucleotides. RefSeq annotates it as other RNA. The record is from RefSeq. NCBI's taxonomy places the organism in Eukaryota, Viridiplantae, Streptophyta, Magnoliopsida, Brassicales, Brassicaceae. The transcript has 2 exons.
UGGAUCCUCCCAUUACAUUUGGAUCUAUCUAAAUCUAUACCAUUUUUCUUUCCGUAGGAUCCUCCCAUUACAACGCCACGUACUUUCGUGUUUUCUUUAAACUGGAAGCUGAUGGUGAUGGUGAAAGAGAUGGAAGGAGUCACAUAUUGUAGUACUGAAUUGGCUGGAGUAAAUUGUGGUAAUUGUAACGAUGCAUGCAAACAAAAGUAUAAGGAUGGAACCGGCCAAUGCACUUCAAAGAUGCAAACCUUACGAUUCAGAAGAAGAAGAAAACCGAAACCUGCUCCUGCAGUCAUCCUUGUAUUUUUUAAAUUUUAUUCGAAGUGUAUUAAUGAUUAAUGG